AAAAAUACCCACUAGUAGCUCUUUACAUUGAUUGCCUCCAAGAAGGUCCUGGAAUCCAGUCUCAGCCUGACGCCACUGUAUCCAUCUGGAAGCAAUCCCGGCUUUAAAGCGCAGAUUACCUAAAAGAAAACCCAACCUAAUAAUGUAGAUCCGUAGGAGUGUCUCGAAAAGAGUUGCUCGCCAGCUGCGAAUGAUUUUCGUUUUACUCAUAAAUCGGAUAUUUUUGGUAAAAAUAAUCCCAUAGUGAGUCCAAGCGCAGCUGUAAGCUAAAAAAGGUAUGAUUUUGACGAGAAAAGGAUCCAUUAAAAAACAUAAAUGUUGAACGAACGCUUUGAUCAUUGCGUUGAAUGUAGAAUCAAACCAAGAAUCAAACAAUAACGGAGCGGCCUGUGAUUAAAUAGAAAAGCUACCGCGUACGAGAACUUGUAUAGAGAAGGAUUUCCCGCUUAGAUGCAGCGGUUCUUCCAUACCUUGGGAGGCAUCCGCCCCAGAUAAACUACCACCUUGCAGUGUCCCGCCCUGAAAUCACUGACGCGGUUAGGCAUCCUUAGACGAAAGAGUGGUAUUCCAGGAUUGAUAGUGACCCACCUCCCACCUAUCCCACACAUUCGUAAGAGGUUGUCACUGCAAAGCUCUAGUCAAGGUGCACGGGGUCUUACCGUCUAGCCGUUGGUACUCCGCAUCUUCACGGAGAAUUCAAUUUCACUGGGUCCAUGUUGGAGACAGCGGGGCAGUCGUUACACCAUUCGUGCAGGUCGCUACUUAUGCGACAAGGAAUUUCGCUACCUUAGGACAAUUAGAGUUACUGCCGCCGUUUACCGGGGCUUACAUUCAAAGCUUAUAACACUUCUCCUUCCAACCUUCCGGCACCGGGCAGGUGUCAGACUCUAUACAUCGUGUUACCACUUGGCAGAGUCCUGUGUUUUUAAUAAACAGUCGCUACCCCCUGAUAUGUGCCGCUUUCCCAAUCCAAAAAAAGAGGGAGAGCACCCCUUCUCCCGAAGUUACGGGGCCAGUUUGCCGAGUUCCUUCAACAUGGUUCUCUCAAGCGCCCUAGUAUACUCUACUUGUUCACCUGUGUCGGUUUGGGGUACGGUUAGUUCACUGGGAGGAUCGCUUCCCAAUUCGAAGUUUUUUCCUGGAAGUCUUAACCCUAACAGAAGUGCGCUUUCGCAUUCAUUCAAUUUGGUGAUCAAAAAUAGGGCAGGGCCUCUAAUUCACUGAAACAGACACGCAUGGUUCAGUAGUCGGAGCAACUUCGUCACUUUCGUGUACCCAUUGGACAAAGCCCUUUCGGGGGUUUCUUAGGGACCGAUUCACUCUGCGUAGAUUGACAGAACGUCCCGCUACUGACACUUAGUUGGCGCUUUAGAACCCGCUUAACGCUUCCAAGGUCUCGUCGCUUCGGUGAAUCACUGGAGCCUCGAUAGAUUUUCGAUGCCAUGGAACUAGACCAGUGAGCUAUUACGCUUUCUUCGAAGGAUGGCUGCUUCCAAGCCCACCUCCUGGUUGUCUGAGCUCGAUCACUUCCUUCUCCACUAAGCGAUUGCUUAGGGACCUUAGCGUACGAUCUGGGCUGUUUCCCUCUCGACUCUGGAUGAACGCACCCAAAGUCUGUACGAUUGAUUAAGCCUGUAUUCGGAGUUUCCUUGGGGUUGGUAAAGCUUUGGGCCACUCUAACCCAUUGAGUGUUCUACCUCAGGCUAUAUUAUACGCGCGCUCUACUGAAAUAGAUUUCGCGGAAAACCAGCUAUAUCCGAUCUUGGUUGGCCUUUCACCCCUAGCCACAAGUCAUCCCUGUAUUUUGCCACAUACGUGGGUUCGGUCCUCCAAGGCCUGUUAGAGCUCUCUUCAAUCUGCUCAUAGCUAGAUCGAUCGGUUUCGGGUCAAAUAGUCACAACUGGGAGAUUCCCUGGCUGGAAAGCGCCUACAUCUAAUGGCGCCGCUGUUCCCAUUUAUUCGCUGACCCAUUAUGCAAAAGGUACGCCGUUAGGGUGAGCCGCCCAGCUGUCGCUUCACUCCUUCGACUGAUCGGAUUUCUUCUCUAUUGCACUCCCUUUCCUAGGGUUCUUUUCACCUUUCCCUCACGGUACUUGUACGCUAUCGGUCAUUGAGGAACGAAGUGCUCGACCGAAGGGAGAGUCAUACUUGGGCUUAGAGGGUGGUCCCCCUUUCUCGCUCGCUACGAAGCGAUCCUGAUUCAAACACGCUGCGUUUGACUUACAUAAGAAAACCAUGAGGCUAUCACCUUCUUUGGCCAGAUCUUCCGGUUGGGUGGGAAUAGAUAAGAAGAGGGGAGCUACGGGAAAGCGUGAAAACCCAACCUUUUCAUUCACUAGAAUGCCUACCUAGUCACCUAAUUCAAAGGGCAAGGCACCGGCAUGCCUGGUUCUUCCAUCAUCCAAUUCACUUCAAUGAAUCGCGCGGAGAAGGCUUUCAUUGAAACGAAAACCUCCGCUGUAUUUGCCCAAUCCGCUUUCGCUCGCCGCUACUAACGGAGUCUCGGUUGAUUUCCCAUACUGGAGCUUCAGUUCGCGUCGUCUUUCAAGUCCAAGGAGCGCGGACUCGCCGCGUAGCCUGGAUACGGUUUCCCGAUCGGAUAUCCAUGGAUCACUAUAGGUCGUCUAUCCCCAUGGCCUUUCGCCUUUGGAAGCGUCCUUCCCUCUCAAUGCCUGGGCAUCCAUCCGAUGCAUUCUUUCCGAUAC
This 2705-nucleotide ribosomal RNA is filed under the name Larix sibirica. Its description in RNAcentral is "23S ribosomal RNA". The record is from RNAcentral. Lineage: Eukaryota; Viridiplantae; Streptophyta; Pinopsida; Pinales; Pinaceae.